RNAcentral lists this long non-coding RNA (1173 nucleotides) under Chrysolophus pictus (golden pheasant). RNAcentral's name for it is "lncRNA (ENSCPIG00010007348.1)". Lineage: Eukaryota; Metazoa; Chordata; Aves; Galliformes; Phasianidae. The record is from RNAcentral.
AUGGGAUUUUCCCCCCCUACAGCCGCUCCCGAUCCGCGUGGCCUCCCCCGAAUUUGGGAUCCCGACACCGACGACCCCAUAUCCGACGACCCCAUAUCCGACAUCGCCGCCCCAUUGUUUCUGUCCUCCCGCGGCUUCGCUCCACCCCACAGCAGCGACGACCCCAUAAAGGCGACGUCCGACCCCAUAAACGCCGACUCUCCGUCACCCCAUAAGCUGGGCUCGUUCCCGACCCUAAAAGACGACAAUGGGGACGAAGAGCUGAAGUUCGAAUUCCUCCCCGUGGAUUUGGGGUCAAAAGGGAAGAAAAAGGGCAAAAGGAACGCCGACCCCGUUAGGGUUGACCCUAUUGAUCCUAUUAGGGUCAAAGUCGGCCCCGUUGAUCCUAUUAGGGUCAGGGUUGACCCCGCUGACCCUAUAAAGGUCGGGGUUGACCCCACUGGUCCUACUGGGGUCAAGGUUGACCCGUUGGCCAACGUUGACCCCAUAAGGGUCGGGGUUGACCCCAUAAGAGUUGGGGUUGACCCCACUGACCCCAUUAGGGUUGGGGUUGACCCCACUGACCCUAUUAGGGCCAAGGCAGACCAGUUGGCCAACGUUGACCCCAUAAGAGUUGAGGUUGACCCCAUUGGGGUUGGGGUUGACCCCACUGACCCUAUUAGGGUCAGGGCUGGCCCGUUGGCCAACGUUGACCCUAUAAGGGUUGGGGUCGACCCCACUGACCCCAUAAGGGUUGGGGUUGACCCCACUGACCCUAUUAGGGCCAGAGCUGGCCCGUUGGCCAACGUUGACCCUAUAAGGGUCGGGGUCGACCCCACUGACCCUAUUAGGGCCAGAGCUGGUCCAUUGGCCAACGUUGACCCUAUAAGGGUCGGGGUCGACCCCACUGACCCUAUUAGGAUUGGGGUCGACCCCACCGACCCCAUUGGGGUCAACCCAUUGGCCAAGGUUUACCCCAUUGUCACCGUGGCGCAUUUUGGGGUCGCGGAGCUUUUGGGGGAUCCCAAUCUUUUGGGGGAUCCCAAUCUUUCGGGGGACAUCAGCGGUUCCGGGGACACCGAUCUUCCCACCACCGUCAUCACGACCCCAAAAACCCCAAACCCCAUAACCACCCCAAAUCCCACCACCACCACCACCCCGGAGCAAGGUGGGUUCCUUCCCCAAUCCCCCUGA